GAUGAACGCUGACAGAAUGCUUAACACAUGCAAGUCUACUUGAACUUCGGUUUGGGUGGCGGACGGGUGAGUAACGCGUAAAGAACUUGCCUCACAGAUAGGGACAACAUUUGGAAACGAAUGCUAAUACCUGAUAUUAUGAUUUUAGGGCAUCCUAGAAUUAUGAAAGCUAUAUGCACUGUGAGAGAGCUUUGCGUCCCAUUAGCUAGUUGGAGAGGUAACGGCUCACCAAGGCGAUGAUGGGUAGCCGGCCGGAGAGGGUGAUCGGCCACAAGGGGACUGAGACACGGCCCUUACUCCUACGGGGGGCAGCAGGGGGGAAAAUUGGACAAUGGACCAAGAGUCUUAUACAACAAUUCUGUGUGCAAGAUGAAGUUUUUCGGAAUGAAAAGUGCUUUCAGUUGGGAAGAAAAAAAUGACGGUACCAACAGAAGAAGUGACGGCUAAAUACGUG
This 454-nucleotide ribosomal RNA is filed under the name uncultured bacterium. Its description in RNAcentral is "partial 16S ribosomal RNA". It matches the Rfam family "Bacterial small subunit ribosomal RNA", at positions 28 to 507 of the family's 1533-position model. The record is from RNAcentral.